Molecule: non-coding RNA, 69 nt
Organism: Podarcis lilfordi (Lilford's wall lizard)
Lineage: Eukaryota; Metazoa; Chordata; Lepidosauria; Squamata; Lacertidae
Source: the annotation of a GenBank genome assembly
GGAUAGCUCAGCCAGUAGAGUAUGAGACUUUUAAUCUCAGGGAUGUGGGUUUGAGCCCCAUGUGGGACA